RNAcentral lists this unclassified non-coding RNA (1041 nucleotides) under Hevea brasiliensis (rubber tree). Lineage: Eukaryota; Viridiplantae; Streptophyta; Magnoliopsida; Malpighiales; Euphorbiaceae. The record is from RNAcentral.
AUUUUGACAAGGGUAUGCCUGCUGUUCUUGUGAUAACUUUUAUUUGUUAAACUCUUAUGCCUCAAGCUUUUGUAUGUUCAUAAUAAUGGAUUUAUGUAUUUAUUUAUUUUUUUGGUUGGAAUCACUAAAGCCUCAAUAGUGCUCCAUAGGAUAAAACUUAGUUGUUAUGUUGUGCUGUUCCAGUUGCCAUACGUUUUCAAAUUUCAAAACUUACUGCCUAAUUCUUGAUGUUUCUAAAAUAACCAAAGAAUCUGCCUUACCUUUUUCUCUUCCACUAGGGAUGCUCCAAGCUCUUGUUCAGGCAUUGCUCCAUCUAGAUAUAUAUGCACCCAUAAAAAAACUUUUCCCUUCUCCUAAUUGACCUUUAGAUCCCUUUUCCUGUCAUCUGCCAGGGAACCUUUGGAUUUUGUGCAGAAAGUAAUAGGGGAUGAAACUCAAAUUUUAGAAUUAUUAUAUGAUUUGGGACAUGAUAUGGAUUCUUACGAUCAUGAUAUGGAUUAUAUGAUUUAGGAUUUUUUUUUCUUUUAAAUUUGCGAGAGAAUAUUAUUUAAAGGAUUUUAUGUGAUUUAGUUUUCGCGUUUGGGUUGAUAUGUAGUUAUUUGUUAGAACAUUAUUGGCAUAGAAUUUUAUCUUCUUCAUUUCAUGUUUUGUAAUGGUUUGGUCUCUAUAAAGGGCAUUGUACAUGAUUGAGUAGAAUGAAAUAAAAAAUGAUUGAAUUUGGGUUGUUUUUUCUUAUGUAUAUAUAUAUAUUCUCCUUCUAUCUUUCUUUUCUUAUUUAUUUUCGUCAUGCUUUUUGUCAAUAGCGAUUCUACUGUUAAAGCCUUUGGAGAAUUCGCUUUGCCUUGUUAUGGAAAAUACAAAUGUUAAGUGUGCAAUGGUUGGGUAUAUUUUGGAAAGUGGCUAUGAUAUGCUUUGAUUCUCUUAUUUGUUUUCCUUUCCUCUUUUAGUAGUUAAUGACCAGCGUUAUGAAUAUUUCCUUGACAGUGUGUAUGUUUAUUAUUACCAGGGAAAGAUUCCUUUAAUAGGUUGUGGGGGUAUUAG